Molecule: ribosomal RNA, 1485 nt
Filed under: Triticum aestivum (bread wheat)
Lineage: Eukaryota; Viridiplantae; Streptophyta; Magnoliopsida; Poales; Poaceae
Description: partial small subunit ribosomal RNA
Source: RNAcentral
AUGCAUUCCAUGAAUAACAAUGCUCUAGAUAUUUCUCAUGAUGCAUUACAACCUUUGAGUCUCCAUUAUGCCAUACAUAACAACAAACCUCUCAUGAUGGAUGACAUGUUUCUAUAUCACGCAUCUCAUUUAUUUGAGCAUUGGAUAUUUUGUGCUAACCGACACAUGCACGUGCGCAUCAUGAUGGAUGAUGUGUACAUAUACCAUGCACACACAAUUUUUCCUUUGUCUUUGUUUUGUGUAGGUACUCAUGUAUACUCGUCAACCUCUCAAUCCCAAGAGUUGACGAAACGAGCUCUUGAGAGCAACGACGGCUUGGGAUCCCGUGGACUAUCCUUACCACUGUUCCCUUCACGCAAGGACUACGCGAAUCUCUUCUACUUGGCUCUCACACAACUAUGGGCUAUUUACCACUUGUCACCUUAUGCCCAUACUAACGUGUUCACUUUGCAUGUUAUGCCUAUUUACAUGAUUUUGCCAUGCAACUGUGACCCUUACUUGCAUCUACCCAUGAUUCACCAUUAUCCUACUUCUAUGUGUAUUUGCAUGCUUGGUAGAGAUCCUUGUUGCUUUUGCCAUGUUUAUCAUGUGCCCCAUGCUAUUGAUGCUUGUUGUGUUGGGAGAGUCAUGAUGCCCCAUUGCUACUUACAUAUGGCCUCUCGCCAAUACAUUGAUGAUAUUUUUCUCAUAUCUUGCUUUCAUGCUUGUGCUAUGUCAUGUGAAUUAUUCUUGCACACUAUUUGCACCAAUGACAUGCUUGCCAUGAUUCCUCCUAGUAUGUUGCAUCUUCGCACUACUAGCUUGCUUGACUUGAUCGCUUGGAUUGCUUGCUAUGUUGCAUCACCCAUGUUCCACUAUUACUUGCUUUCUUGGGUUGAUGACAUAUAUGCGCAUGCCUCUCACAUGAUAUAUCUUGAUCAUUGUCUCUUGUGUCCAUUAGUUGCCUCUUUCAUAUCCACUUGUAUUGAGUGCAACCAUACUAUGCUUCUUGAUCUUGGAGACUUUGACACCUUACUUGUGAUGCAUGCUUGUUUGAUUGAGCCUAUUGCAUUUGGUUGUUCUCGCAUCAUAUGCCUCCAUACUAUGAAAUGCUCCCUUGUCCUUUCUUAUGAUGAGCAUGAUGCAUACAGUUGUUGGGUAUCUUACCUCACGAAUGAUAGGUGUUGCAUUUGCACUAACCUCAUUUGUUUUUCCGAGUGUUUGCCAUGUUCUUUUGUUUUGAAGGAUUCACAAGGCGGUACCAUGAUACGACAACUUGGUCAUGUGAAGGCAUACAUGAUGUGUGACACCAACAUUUUCGACAUUCUCAUAAAGGUGAUCUCCUUCUCUUUGAGCCAUCCUCAAGUUUGCAUAUUGGAUGGGUCACUCUUUCAUUGUUGUUUCCUUCUUGUUGUCUACAUGAUACAUCUCGCGAACGGAGGAGCGACAUUGGAGAUUGGCUCUAUGGACCUUCACAUUGAGGAGUGCACCCUAUGCAUGGAUUGA